GCCCCGCCCGGAAAGGGUGGAGCACAACGUCGAAAGCAGCCGUUGGGAGCCCAGGAGGCGGGGCGCCUGUGGGAGCCGUGGAGGGAACUUUCCCAGUCCCCGAGGCGGAUCCGGUGUUGCAUCCUUGGAGCGAGCUGAGAGCUCGAGUACAGAACCUGCUAAGGCCAUCAAACCUAUUGAUCGGAAGUCAGUCCAUCAGAUUUGCUCUGGGCCGGUGGUACCGAGUCUAAGCACUGCGGUGAAGGAGUUAGUAGAAAACAGUCUGGAUGCUGGUGCCACUAAUAUUGAUCUAAAGCUUAAGGACUAUGGAGUGGAUCUCAUUGAAGUUUCAGGCAAUGGAUGUGGGGUAGAAGAAGAAAACUUCGAAGGCUUAACUCUGAAACAUCACACAUCUAAGAUUCAAGAGUUUGCCGACCUACCUCAGGUUGAAACUUUUGGCUUUCGGGGGGAAGCUCUGAGCUCACUUUGUGCACUGAGUGAUGUCACCAUUUCUACCUGCCAUGUAUCGGCGAAGGUUGGGACUCGACUGGUGUUUGAUCACUAUGGGAAAAUCAUCCAGAAAACCCCCUACCCCCACCCCAGAGGGAUGACAGUCAGUGUGAAGCAGUUAUUUUCUACGCUACCUGUGCACCAUAAAGAAUUUCAAAGGAAUAUUAAGAAGAAACGUGCCUGCUUCCCCUUCGCCUUCUGCCGUGAUUGUCAGUUUCCUGAGGCCUCCCCAGCCAUGCUUCCUGUACAGCCUGCAGAACUCCUCCAAUUUACAGUCUAAAACAUGUACGCGGUGGCCCUGAGCUGUUGUGUAAAUGGACUCACUGCCCUGAGGCCACCAUGCUGCAAGGAAGCCCAAGCUAACCCUAGGAUGUGCCCUGAGACGACAUGAAGACGCAUCCCCAGCCAGCCUUCCACUACCCCAUCCUUCACUGCCCCAUUCUCACCCCCGCCCACCUCCUUACUCCCUCCACCCCUCCACCUGCCUCCAGCCAGAAUUGCACAGCCAACUACUUCCAGAAUCGCUGGUCCAAAGAAAUCACGACAGGCGCUAAGUUUGGGGCAAUCCAUUUAAUGCUACUAAGUUGUGGGAUGGUUUGUUUGAGCAGCCCCAGAUAACAAACAUUCCUUGAGGUCACACGCUAACCAAGCUGUGAUUCGAACACUGCCUCUCAAAUUCACGAGCAAAAGAGGGGGAAUUCUGUUUAAAAUGCCAAAAAGAACUCUUUCUUGCUUUUAUUAUUUUUAAUUUAUGUAUAAUAAUUGUAUGUUUAUAUAAUAAUUGUAAUAAUUUACGGGAUACAGGUGAUAUUUCAAUAUAUGUAUACAAUGUGUAAUGAUCACAUCAGGGUGAUUAGCGGAUUCAUUUCCUCAGUUAUCAUUUCUUUGUGUUGGGAACAUUCAAAAUCUGCUCUUCUACCUAUUUGAAUAUAGAAAAUAAAUUGUUUUGUUUUGUUUUUGAGAAA
This 1454-nucleotide long non-coding RNA is filed under the name Homo sapiens (human). Its description in RNAcentral is "novel transcript". The record is from RNAcentral. Lineage: Eukaryota; Metazoa; Chordata; Mammalia; Primates; Hominidae.